This 279-nucleotide ribosomal RNA is filed under the name uncultured bacterium. RNAcentral's name for it is "partial 16S ribosomal RNA". It matches the Rfam family "Bacterial small subunit ribosomal RNA", at positions 506 to 784 of the family's 1533-position model. The record is from RNAcentral.
UGCCAGCAGCCGCGGUAAUACAGAGGGUGCGAGCGUUAAUCGGAAUUACUGGGCGUAAAGCGUGCGUAGGCGGUUAAUUAAGUCAGAUGUGAAAGCCCUGAGCUCAACCUGGGAAUUGCAUUUGAUACUGGUUAACUUGAGUAUGGGAGAGGGAAGUGGAAUUUCCGGUGUAGCGGUGAAAUGCGUAGAUAUCGGAAGGAACACCGGUGGCGAAGGCGACUUCCUGGGCCAAUACUGACGCUGAGGCGCGAAAGCGUGGGUAGCAAACAGGAUUAGAUA